Molecule: ribosomal RNA, 298 nt
Filed under: uncultured bacterium
Lineage: Bacteria
Description: partial 16S ribosomal RNA
Rfam family: Bacterial small subunit ribosomal RNA
Source: RNAcentral
CUUGCUCAGAGACGAUCUUAGCGGCGGACGGGUGAGUAACGCGUGAGCAACCUGCCUUACACAGGGGGAUAACGCAGCGAAAGUUGUGCUAAUACCGCAUGAGACCACAACGGGACAUCCCGAAGGGGUCAAAGGAGAGAUCCGGUGUAAGAUGGGCUCGCGUCUGAUUAGCUGGUUGGUGAGGUAACGGCCCACCAAGGCGACGAUCAGUAGCCGACCUGAGAGGGUGAUCGGCCACAUUGGAACUGAGAGACGGUCCAAACUCCUACGGGAGGCAGCAGUGGGGAAUAUUGGGCAA